CACGUAGGGCGCAAGCGUUGUCCGGAAUUAUUGGGCGUAAAGAGCUCGUAGGCGGUCUGUUGCGUCCGCUGUGAAAACUCGGGGCUUAACCCCGAGCCUGCAGUGGAUACGGGCAGACUAGAGGUAGGUAGGGGAGAAUGGAAUUCCGUGGUGUAGCGGUGAAAUGCGCAGAUAUCGGGAAGAACACCUAUGGCGAAGGCAGCUCUCUGGGACGGUACUGACGCUGAGACGCGAAAGCGUGGGGAGCAAACAGG
RNAcentral lists this ribosomal RNA (254 nucleotides) under uncultured bacterium. RNAcentral's name for it is "partial 16S ribosomal RNA". It matches the Rfam family "Bacterial small subunit ribosomal RNA", at positions 524 to 776 of the family's 1533-position model. The record is from RNAcentral.